This 253-nucleotide ribosomal RNA is filed under the name uncultured bacterium. RNAcentral's name for it is "partial 16S ribosomal RNA". It matches the Rfam family "Bacterial small subunit ribosomal RNA", at positions 524 to 776 of the family's 1533-position model. The record is from RNAcentral.
GACGGAGAGUGCAAGCGUUGUUCGGAAUUAUUGGGCGUAAAGGGCGUGUGGGCGGCUUGUUAAGUCAUAUGUGAAAUCCCUCGGCUCAACCGAGGAAAAGCGCAUGAAACUGGCAUGCUAAAGUACCGAAAAAAAAAAUGGAAUUCCCAAUGUAGCGGUGAAAUGCGUAGAUAUCGGGAGGAACACCGGUGGCGAAGGCGGCCCCCUGGUCGGAUACUGACGCUGAUACGCGAAAGCGUGGGGAGCAAACAGG